This 74-nucleotide transfer RNA is filed under the name Micrastur gilvicollis. RNAcentral's name for it is "tRNA-Glu". It matches the Rfam family "tRNA". From Rfam's summary of the family: Transfer RNA (tRNA) molecules are approximately 80 nucleotides in length. Their secondary structure includes four short double-helical elements and three loops (D, anti-codon, and T loops). The record is from RNAcentral. Lineage: Eukaryota; Metazoa; Chordata; Aves; Falconiformes; Falconidae.
GUUCUCGUGGUUGAAGGUUCGUACAACGACAGUUUUUCAAGCUGUAGAUCUUGGGUGGAGACCAAGCGAGAAUA